CGCCAAUAAGCUAGCCCAACUAAUAAAAACAACAACCAACAUUAAUAACCCCCAAACAUUAACCCCGUAAAACCAAACCAUUUUACCCCCCUAGUAUGGGAGACAGAAAAGGAACAUUUGGAGCAACAGAAUAAGUACCGCAAGGGAAUGCUGAAAGAGAAAUGAAACAAUUCAGUAAAGCCCAAAAAAGCAGAGAUUACAUCUCGUACCUUUUGCAUCAUGAUUUAGCUAGACCCCCCCAAGCAAAGAGAACUUUAGUCUGGGCCCCCGAAACUACGGUGAGCUACUCCAAGACAGCCCGUCCUGGGGCGAACCCGUCUCUGUGGCAAAAGAGUGGGAAGAGCUUUGAGUAGAGGUGACAGACCUACCGAACCUAGUUAUAGCUGGUUGCCUGAGAAUUGGAUAGGAGUUCAGCCUCCAGGCUUCUCUCUUCACAGCGAUUUUAUUAUCCACCCGCCGAUACCUAAAGAAGCCUAGAGAGUUAAUUAAAGGGGGUACAGCCCCUUUAAAACAAGACACAACUUUUCCAGGAGGGUAAAGAUCAUAAUAUAUAUAAGGCAUAAUGCCCUAGUGGGCCUAAAAGCAGCCACCCCUAUAGAAAGCGUUACAGCUCGAGCAUUUAAUAAGCCAUAUAUGAAGAUAACCAAAUCCCAACCCCCUAACACAUUACCAGGCCAUCUCAUGCCCACAUGAGAGCGCACAUGCUAAUAUGAGUAGUAAGAGAGCACCCGCCUCUCUCCUUGCACACAUGUAAAUCGGAACGAACCCCCACCGAAACUUAACGGCCCCAAACCUAGAGGGAAUUGUUUAUCAGCAUAAAUAACUAGAAAAUCAUCCAACAAAUGACCGUUAACCCUACACAGGUGUGCCCUUAAGGAAAGACCAACAGAAAUAGAAGGAAUUCAGCAACACGUUAUCCUGAGCCUCGCCUGUUUACCAAAAACAUCGCCUCUUGCAAACCUAGAAUAAGAGGUCUGGCCUGCCCUGUGACUAUAUGUUUAACGGCCGCGGUAUUUUGACCGUGCGAAGGUAGCGCAAUCAUUUGUCUUUUAAAUGAGGACCGGUAUGAAAGGCACAACGAGGGCUCAACUGUCUCCUCUUUCUAGUCAAUGAAAUUGAUCUCCCCGUGCAAAAGCGGGGAUACCCCCAUAAGACGAGAAGACCCUGUGGAGCUUUAGGCACAAGGCAUAUCAUGUUAAACACCCCUGAACAAAGGGCUGAACUAAAUGAACCCUGCCCUCAUGCCUUAGGUUGGGGCGACCAUGGGGAAGCAAGCAACCCCCACGUGGAAUGGGAACACUUCUUUUUUUCUCCCUCCUACAAGCAAGAGCUGCAGCUCUAGCAAACAGAAUUUCUGACCAAACUAAAGAUCCGGCAACGCCGAUCAACGGACCAAGUUACCCCAGGGAUAACAGCGCAAUCCCCUUUUAGAGCCCAUAUCGACAAGGGGGUUUACGACCUCGAUGUUGGAUCAGGACAUCCUAAUGGUGUAACCGCUAUAAAGGGUUCGUUUGUUCAACGAUUAAAGUCCUACGUGAUCUGAGUUCAGACCGGAGUAAUCCAGGUCAGUUUCUAUCUAUGCCAUGUUCUUUUCUAGUACGAAAGGACCGGAAAGAAGGGGCCCAUGUUUUUGACACGCCUCACCCAUCCUAGUGAAUACAACUAAACUAGAAGAGAGGUCAUACCCUACCAAUUGCCAAAAAUAAAGGCACGUUAGGAAGAGGAAACUUAUUACUACAAAUAAGCCCAGACUCCCCAAACUAGAGGUUCAAACCCUCUCCCUAACUACAGACAGCCAAAACAUAACAGAAGGGCUUACCCCCUGACUGCAUGGGCUGUCAACAUGCCGUGGGGCAGAGCUCGGUAAUAAAAAGCUUCGAGCUUAGACCGACCCGAGGGGUAAAACCCUCCCCCAUCGAACAACUACCACACAAUGACAGCCAAAACAUAGCAGAAGGGCUUACCCCCUAACUGCAUGGGCUGUCAACAUGCCGUGGGGCAGAGCUCGGUAAUAAAAAGCUUCGAGCUUAGACCGACCCGAGGGGUAAAACCCUCCCCCAUCGAACAACUACCACACAAUGACAGCCAAAACAUAGCAGAAGGGCUUACCCCCUAACUGCAUGGGCUGUCAACAUGCCGUGGGGCAGAGCUCGGUAAUAAAAAGCUUCGAGCUUAGACCGACCCGAGGGGUAAAACCCUCCCCCAUCGAACAACUACCACACAAUGACAGCCAAAACAUAGCAGAAGGGCUUACCCCCUGACUGCAUGGGCUGUCAACAUGCCGUGGGGCAGAGCUCGGUAAUAAAAAGCUUCGAGCUUAGACCGACCCGAGGGGUAAAACCCUCCCCCAUCGAACAACUACCACACAAUGACAGCCAAAACAUAGCAGAAGGGCUUACCCCCUGACUGCCUAACACAACAACAU
Molecule: ribosomal RNA, 2425 nt
Filed under: Lepidocybium flavobrunneum (escolar)
Lineage: Eukaryota; Metazoa; Chordata; Actinopteri; Scombriformes; Gempylidae
Description: 16S rRNA
Rfam family: Bacterial large subunit ribosomal RNA (bases 93-1755)
Source: RNAcentral